ACGGGGCUAAACCAUGCACCGAAGCUGCGGCAGCGACACUAUGUGUUGUUGGGUAGGGGAGCGUUCUGUAAGCCUGCGAAGGUGACCUGUGAGGGUUGCUGGAGGUAUCAGAAGUGCGAAUGCUGACAUAAGUAACGAUAAAGCGGGUGAAAAGCCCGCUCGCCGGAAGACCAAGGGUUCCUGUCCAACGUUAAUCGGGGCAGGGUGAGUCGACCCCUAAGGCGAGGCCGAAAGGCGUAGUCGAUGGGAAACAGGUUAAUAUUCCUGUACUUGGUGUUACUGCGAAGGGGGGACGGAGAAGGCUAUGUUAGCCGGGCGACGGUUGUCCCGGUUUAAGCAUGUAGGCUGAUUGUCCAGGCAAAUCCGGAUAAUCAAGGCUGAGGUGUGAUGACGAGGCACUACGGUGCUGAAGUAACAAAUGCCCUGCUUCCAGGAAAAGCCUCUAAGCAUCAGGUAACAUCAAAUCGUACCCCAAACCGACACAGGUGGUCAGGUAGAGAAUACCAAGGCGCUUGAGAGAACUCGGGUGAAGGAACUAGGCAAAAUGGUGCCGUAACUUCGGGAGAAGGCACGCUGGUGUGUAGGUGAAGCCCCUGCGGGUGGAGCUGAGACCAGUCGAAGAUACCAGCUGGCUGCAACUGUUUAUUAAAAACACAGCACUGUGCAAACACGAAAGUGGACGUAUACGGUGUGACGCCUGCCCGGUGCCGGAAGGUUAAUUGAUGGGGUUAUCCGUAAGGAGAAGCUCUUGAUCGAAGCCCCGGUAAACGGCGGCCGUAACUAUAACGGUCCUAAGGUAGCGAAAUUCCUUGUCGGGUAAGUUCCGACCUGCACGAAUGGCGUAAUGAUGGCCAGGCUGUCUCCACCCGAGACUCAGUGAAAUUGAACUCGCUGUGAAGAUGCAGUGUACCCGCGGCAAGACGGAAAGACCCCGUGAACCUUUACUAUAGCUUGACACUGAACAUUGAGCCUUGAUGUGUAGGAUAGGUGGGAGGCUUUGAAGCGUGGACGCCAGUCUGCGUGGAGCCAACCUUGAAAUACCACCCUUUAAUGUUUGAUGUUCUAACGUUGGCCCCUGACCGGGGUUGCGGACAGUGUCUGGUGGGUAGUUUGACUGGGGCGGUCUCCUCCCAAAGCGUAACGGAGGAGCACGAAGGUUAGCUAAUCCUGGUCGGACAUCAGGAGGUUAGUGCAAUGGCAUAAGCUAGCUUGACUGCGAGCGUGACGGCGCGAGCAGGUGCGAAAGCAGGUCAUAGUGAUCCGGUGGUUCUGAAUGGAAGGGCCAUCGCUCAACGGAUAAAAGGUACUCCGGGGAUAACAGGCUGAUACCGCCCAAGAGUUCAUAUCGACGGCGGUGUUUGGCACCUCGAUGUCGGCUCAUCACAUCCUGGGGCUGAAGUAGGUCCCAAGGGUAUGGCUGUUCGCCAUUUAAAGUGGUACGCGAGCUGGGUUUAGAACGUCGUGAGACAGUUCGGUCCCUAUCUGCCGUGGGCGCUGGAGAAUUGAGGGGGGCUGCUCCUAGUACGAGAGGACCGGAGUGGACGCAUCACUGGUGUUCGGGUUGUCAUGCCAAUGGCACUGCCCGGUAGCUAAAUGCGGAAGAGAUAAGUGCUGAAAGCAUCUAAGCACGAAACUUGCCCCGAGAUGAGUUCUCCCUGAGACUUUAAGUCUCCUGAAGGAACGUUGAAGACGACGACGUUGAUAGGCCGGGUGUGUAAGCGCAGCGAUGCGUUGAGCUAACCGGUACUAAUGAACCGUGAGGCUUAACC
This 1769-nucleotide ribosomal RNA is filed under the name Klebsiella pneumoniae. RNAcentral describes it as "bacterial LSU rRNA". It matches the Rfam family "Bacterial large subunit ribosomal RNA", at positions 1175 to 2925 of the family's 2925-position model. The record is from RNAcentral. Lineage: Bacteria; Pseudomonadati; Pseudomonadota; Gammaproteobacteria; Enterobacterales; Enterobacteriaceae.